GAGUACCUACGGGGGGCAGCAGUGGGGAAUAUUGCACAAUGGGGGAAACCCUGAUGCAGCGACGCCGCGUGAAGGAAGAAGUAUUUCGGUAUGUAAACUUCUAUCAGUAGGGAAGAAAAUGACGGUACCUGACUAAGAAGCCCCGGCUAACUACGUGCCAGCAGCCGCGGUAAUACGUAGGGGGCAAGCGUUAUCCGGAUUUACUGGGUGUAAAGGGAGCGUAGGCGGUAAUGCAAGUCAGAAGUGAAAGCCCAGGGCUCAACUCCGGGACUGCUUUUGAAACUGUGUUGCUAGAUUGCAGGAGG
RNAcentral lists this ribosomal RNA (305 nucleotides) under uncultured bacterium. RNAcentral describes it as "bacterial SSU rRNA". It matches the Rfam family "Bacterial small subunit ribosomal RNA", at positions 333 to 655 of the family's 1533-position model. The record is from RNAcentral.